This 254-nucleotide unclassified non-coding RNA is filed under the name Phaeotremella sp. Its description in RNAcentral is "partial contains 5.8S ribosomal RNA, internal transcribed spacer 2, and large subunit ribosomal RNA". The stretch from base 1 to 52 matches the Rfam family "5.8S ribosomal RNA", at positions 103 to 154 of the family's 154-position model. Lineage: Eukaryota; Fungi; Basidiomycota; Tremellomycetes; Tremellales; Phaeotremellaceae. The record is from RNAcentral. RNAcentral also lists the same sequence under 1 other name.
AACGCACAUUGCGCCCUUUGGUAUUCCGAAGGGCAUGCCUGUCCGAGCGUCAUUAUCAACCAUCAAGCCUGGCUUGUCGUUGGACCCGUGUCACCGUCAGCGGCGACAGGUCCGAAAGAUAAUGACGGUGUCGUGUCUGACCCUCGAUGCAACGAGCCUUUUCGGCACGCAUUGCAGCGGCGGACCGGGGCCGGUCGUACCUCUCAUUUCUCAAGGUUGACCUCGGAUCAGGUAGGAAUACCCGCUGAACUUAA